CUUGNGCGAGAGUAGUACUAGGAUGGGUGACCCCCUGGGAAGUCCUCGUGUUGCACCCCCCCUUCUUUUUGCAUCUUUUUCGCCUUUUUGGGGGAAGGUGGUGAAAGGAAACGCGCGUACGAGAGAACGUGGCUUAGUGAACGCGCGGCACCGACACGUGGGAAAGUAGGCACAAAAUCGGACAAUCCUAGCGGUUGGGAAUAUAGGAGUAAAAAGGGAGAACCCUA
RNAcentral lists this unclassified non-coding RNA (227 nucleotides) under Polyscias sp. 'veillonii'. Lineage: Eukaryota; Viridiplantae; Streptophyta; Magnoliopsida; Apiales; Araliaceae. The record is from RNAcentral.